This 72-nucleotide transfer RNA is filed under the name Camelus bactrianus (Bactrian camel). It matches the Rfam family "tRNA". From Rfam's summary of the family: Transfer RNA (tRNA) molecules are approximately 80 nucleotides in length. Their secondary structure includes four short double-helical elements and three loops (D, anti-codon, and T loops). RNAcentral also lists the same sequence under 2 other names. Lineage: Eukaryota; Metazoa; Chordata; Mammalia; Artiodactyla; Camelidae. The record is from Rfam by way of RNAcentral.
GGGUAUAUAGCUCAGUGGUAAAGCACAUGCUUAGCAUGCAUGAGGUCCUGGGUUCAAUCUCCAGUGCCUCCA